GCCGGGCAUGGUGGUGGGUGCCUGUAAUCCUAGCUACUUAGGAGGCUGAGGCAGGAGAAUCGCUUGAACCCAGGAGGCGGAGAUUGCAGUGAGCCGAGAUCACACCACUGCACUCCAGCCUGGGUGACAGAGUGAAACUCUGUCUCAA
This is a non-coding RNA of Gorilla gorilla gorilla (western lowland gorilla), 148 nucleotides long. It matches the Rfam family "Metazoan signal recognition particle RNA". Rfam says of the family: The signal recognition particle (SRP) is a universally conserved ribonucleoprotein. It is involved in the co-translational targeting of proteins to membranes. Lineage: Eukaryota; Metazoa; Chordata; Mammalia; Primates; Hominidae. The record is from Rfam.